UUGGAGGUGCAAUCCCUGUGAC
Molecule: non-coding RNA, 22 nt
Filed under: Rattus norvegicus (Norway rat)
Lineage: Eukaryota; Metazoa; Chordata; Mammalia; Rodentia; Muridae
Source: RNAcentral